This 651-nucleotide long non-coding RNA is filed under the name Equus caballus (horse). RNAcentral describes it as "lncRNA (ENSECAG00000044209.1)". The record is from RNAcentral. Lineage: Eukaryota; Metazoa; Chordata; Mammalia; Perissodactyla; Equidae.
CAAUCUUCCUUUAUGUUAUAUGUGGGACACUGCCACAGCGUGGCUUGAAGAGCGGUGUACAGGUUUGAAGCAAUUUGAUUACGAUGUGCAGAGGGAAAGCCUGCACCUUAUCAGAGAAACCUGCUAAGAGGCUGUGCAUGAUGUAGUCCACUUGUGACGCAGUGAAGGCCACAGCGGUCAUACAGAAGCAUGAUGGGAAGUGCUGCCAGCAACGAGCUGGCGUGAAGAUAAAGAGAAGGAAGACAGAAGAAGGAAAACGGAGAAUUAUUUUUCCCCUCCAAAACAUAGAAAAGAUUGAUACUGUGGUUCUCCAUUGUAUCAGAAGUGCAAACAUGAGAAAACAGUCAUAAAUCAGAGUGGAUUUUUAUUUUACAUAGAGAAUAACUUUUUAAUAAGACAAUUGUCCAUUUUGUUGAGAUGUUCAGAUUUAUCAUCAUGCCGGUUUGCUCGAAGCGGGGAGAAAGUCUUGGGACGAGAACAGGAGUGGGGGAUACAAUUUACAACUUAUCAAUCUAUCAGUAGAGAUUCCGUUAUUUGAUCUCUUCCCCCAAAAUACUAGAUAAGGAAGUCACCGAAUUUCACACAAUCUAAUAAGUGGGAGAGCUGAGAUUCACACUCCAGCCCUCUGACGUCCCAGUUUUUCACUUUGUC